UAGGGAAUCUUCGGCAAUGGGGGGAACCCUGACCGAGCAACGCCGCGUGAGUGAAGAAGGUUUUCGGAUCGUAAAGCUCUGUUGUUAAGGAAGAACGAGUGUGAGAAUGGAAAGUUCAUGCUGUGACGGUACUUAACCAGAAAGGGACGGCUAACUACGUGCCAGCAGCCGCGGUAAUACGUAGGUCCCGAGCGUUGUCCGGAUUUAUUGGGCGUAAAGGGUACGCAGGCGGUUUAAUAAGUCGAAUGUUAAAGAUCGGGGCUCAACCCCGUAAAGCAUUGGAAACUGAUAAACUUGAGUAGUGGAGAGGAAAGUGGAAUUCCUAGUGUAGUGGUGAAAUACGUAGAUAUUAGGAGGAAUACCAGUAGCGAAGGCGACUUUCUGGACACAAACUGACGCUGAGGUACGAAAGCGUGGGGAGCAAACAGG
This 429-nucleotide ribosomal RNA is filed under the name Bacteroidota bacterium. RNAcentral's name for it is "Bacteroidetes bacterium partial 16S ribosomal RNA". It matches the Rfam family "Bacterial small subunit ribosomal RNA", at positions 355 to 776 of the family's 1533-position model. Lineage: Bacteria; Pseudomonadati; Bacteroidota. The record is from RNAcentral.